Antechinus flavipes (yellow-footed antechinus) is the source of this 1246-nucleotide long non-coding RNA. RefSeq lists it as uncharacterized. The transcript has 2 exons. The record is from RefSeq and is a predicted model, not a curated record. Lineage: Eukaryota; Metazoa; Chordata; Mammalia; Dasyuromorphia; Dasyuridae.
GUGCUUUCCUAAAUAUGCUCCUGGUGGAGUCUUGUUUUUUAAGAAAGCAAUUGGGGUAGGAGCCUGCCAGGAAGGGAAAAUCACUGAGGGGAUUGGUGGUGAGGCAAAGUCCCAUUCUUUAUUUUUAUUCUUCACAGAGCCUUAUUAUCACUCUAAUUCCCUUCAUAGACUGAGGGUUUCACUGCCUGCUCCAAGCUAGCCUCUCCCACUUGGCUGUACCAUGAGUCUCUGGGGCCCCUUCAUCAUCUUGGUGCUGCUAACUCUCUGCUCAAAGCAAAAGGCUGCUGCAACAAAUCAAGAGUUCUGCAAGGAGGCUGAAGAUCAAGGCUCUUGCCGAGCUCUUAUCCCUAGAUGGUUCUAUGACUUUACCACCAGUACAUGUAGGCUGUUUAUCUAUGGAGGCUGUGAAGGCAACAGCAACAACUUCAAAAGCAAAGCUGAUUGUCUGCAAACCUGCAGUGGGAAAAGUAAGAGGGAACUCUCUUGACAUCUGGAUCCAGUCCUCCCCCAGGCUGGGGUAGCCUGAAAUACUUCCCCAGUGAUAUCUUUGUUACUUUGAAAUUCCUCCCAUAUUCCCAUUUCUCUAGACUUCUCAAACUACCCUUUAAAAUGCAGAUACUCUAGGAAGGCCAAAACUAUCAGAAUCAUUCACAUAUUAGUGUAAAUUCUUUUCAUCAGAGAUCUUUCUCUGUCAAAGGGCAAAGGUGAUUUAAAACUCUGGGAUAUUGCUCUGAUACUUCAGGCCUGAGUGUAGGUUAUGGGAAACAAAGAAACAAGAGGCUAGAGUCACAGAAACAGGAGUAAGAGUCAGAUCAGGACAAAUUUGGGCUGUCUUACAUCUGAAAGGAUUUGUUGAUUCCUACUGUGUACAUGGCACUGAGUAUCCCAAUAGUCCCAAGGAAGACCCUUUGAUGGGAGAGCUGUGGAUGACUUCCUUAUUGGGCACAGGAAAUGGAAAGGGGAGAUGGAGGUUUCUUAGUAAGAAUGAUAGAAAAUGCCCAGAACUGCUCAGGAUCAGAGGUGGGAAGUGGGGGGUAGUGAUAUAGCAUGAGAGGAAAGGGUGGUGAAGGAUUUCCAGAGGGAGAUAAUUGUCUACCAGUAUGAGUUCCACUUGGUCUAGGGCAACGAUUCCCUCAGUCUGUAGUUCUUACUGGGCAUUGUUUCCUCCCAAUUUCUGAUCCUGUUAAUCUCUUUUUCUGUUCCCACUCUCUAAAAGACUUUCUGAAAUAAAGUGAUUUAUCUCCUA